UGGGGAAUAUUGGACAAUGGGCGAAAGCCUGAUCCAGCCAUGCCGCGUGUGUGAAGAAGGUCUUCGGAUUGUAAAGCACUUUAAGUUGGGAGGAAGGGCAGUAAGCGAAUACCUUGCUGUUUUGACGUUACCGACAGAAUAAGCACCGGCUAACUCUGUGCCAGCAGCCGCGGUAAUACAGAGGGUGCAAGCGUUAAUCGGAAUUACUGGGCGUAAAGCGCGCGUAGGUGGUUCGUUAAGUUGAAUGUGAAAGCCCCGGGCUCAACCUGGGAACUGCAUCCAAAACUGGCGAGCUAGAGUAGGGCAGAGGGUGGUGGAAUUCCCUGUGUAGCGGUGAAAUGCGUAGAUAUAGGAAGGAACACCAGUGGCGAAGGCGACCACCUGGGCUCAUACUGACACUGAGGUGCGAAAGCGUGGGGAGCAAACAGG
RNAcentral lists this ribosomal RNA (429 nucleotides) under Pseudomonadota bacterium. Its description in RNAcentral is "Proteobacteria bacterium partial 16S ribosomal RNA". It matches the Rfam family "Bacterial small subunit ribosomal RNA", at positions 355 to 776 of the family's 1533-position model. The record is from RNAcentral. Lineage: Bacteria; Pseudomonadati; Pseudomonadota.